CCUACGGGGGGCAGCAGUGAGGAAUAUUGGUCAAUGGGCGCGAGCCUGAACCAGCCAAGUCGCGUGAGGGAAGACGGCCCUAUGGGUUGUAAACCUCUUUUGCCGGGGAGCAACGGGCGCCACGUGUGGCGCCACUGAGAGUACCCGGAGAAAAAGCAUCGGCCAACUCAGUGCCAGCAGCCGCGGUAAUACGGAGGAUGCGAGCGUGAUCAGGAUUGAUUGGGUUUAAAGGGUGCGUAGGCGGAGCGUUAAGUCAGUGGUCAAAUUGAGGGGCUCAACCCCUUCCCGCCAUUGAAACUGGCGCUCUUGAGUGGACGAGAAGUAUGCGGAAUGCGUGUUGUAGCGGUGAAAUGCAUAGCUAUCACGCAGAACCCCGAUUGCGAAGGCAGCAUGCCGGCUUCCGACUGACGCUGAAGCACGAACGCGUGGGGAUCGAACAGGAUUAGAUACCCUAGUAGUC
This 460-nucleotide ribosomal RNA is filed under the name uncultured bacterium. RNAcentral describes it as "partial 16S ribosomal RNA". It matches the Rfam family "Bacterial small subunit ribosomal RNA", at positions 338 to 795 of the family's 1533-position model. The record is from RNAcentral.